CUUCACACCUGCAUUCCGUUUGCCGGGAGGAGGCCACAGGGAGCGGACGUGGGUCUCGCGGGCACCAUUACUUGAGACGAACGAGGCCACCAGCGACCCGCCGUCAACCUCACGAGGAGCCAAGGUGUGUGUGUGUGUGUGUGCUUGUGAGCCUCACCUGCUCUCUUUCCGGGACCACCGUCACCGCCGCCACCUCCACCGCCUUCGUUGUCCCCACCAACAUAACUCAGUCUAAGGAGAUGUGUUCGAGCCACUGGUUCUGGUUCACUCUUCGCUGCUGGGGCGUCCUGUCCUUACCCAGUAGAGAGCGAGUCUGUGAGGGCACAGGGUGCGGCGUAGUUUACGGACGGCUGAGGCACUGGAAAUUUACUUGUAGUACAUGAAACAGCGUCUUGUAGUCUGAAAUUACGCCAAGUUACAUGUAUGAACACGAUACAUGUAACACUGCUUUGCAUCUUUGUGUAAUAAUGACAUAAAAGCUGGAAGCUGGUGAAUAAUAAUAAGCAGUCUGUAGUUCCCAGCUAUCUCUUUUUCUUAGUGUUACCAUUGCAAAUGUGAACGUGUCUGCGAGAUUUUCAUCAUGUUGUAACACUGUGGUCCACAUGUGGCUCAUACUGGAAAUUAUGUACUGGCCUCCCUCUGUACAGGACUAUUUGCUCACUCCGGGGCCCACUUGUUUGCUGUAGCAACAGCAACAGUAGCAAUAGCAGCAGCAACAACGUGACUCGAAACCCAGCGUGCUGAGAUGUCAACAUCAACAUCAACCUGCAGGGCACUCAUCACAGCUGCUGUGUGGAAGCCUGCAUUAUUUGUGUGCUGCCAGUCUGUGAUGCUGACCAGCAUGAACAACAGAAGAACUAAUCAUAGUCAUGACGUCACGUAUUUAGUGUGUAUUGCUUUGGACCAUUCGUUCAUAGGCCAUAUCAACAGAGCCCCUCCAUGGGCAUACGAACCCUAGCACUAUCAAAAAUUGUUUGAAACAAUGGUCAACAUUUUCAAGCGAUGAUGCACGUACAGUACUUACUGACUGCACCUCAUGUGCGUGGUAUCCUUACGCAUCUCGUGAGUGUGAUGGGUGUCGUAAACUUAAUGGGAAAUAAAUAAAAAAAAAAUAUUGUGGGGGAAGUAAUUAUCUUGAUUUUACUCUGUAAUAAUUGGUGUUAAUGUUCCAUCUCAUUAUAGUCUCCAUAAUUCUAUGCACCGUUCACUCGGUUUUAUUUUUCACCAGCACAUCCAGGGAGCCUCGAUGCAAGACUGGUGAAAAGAACUGUGAUGGGGAAACGUAUCAGUUCCACAUCAGUCCCUGAUGAAGACCCUGCAGGUGCUGCCAGUCUCUAACGUCGCCGAUUGUAGGAGAGAGGAUGGACACCACCAAACACCAGGAUGAAGGCAUACACCUCUCACCACGUGAAAACAAUAAUGAUGGACGAAUCUACAAGAGGCUCAGAGAUCAUUAUUCCCAGCCUUCAUAAGAAGUGAGAUGGCCUUCCUUCCACAGUGAGUAACUUCAGUAGAGAAAUCCACAAAGAGUCUCCACGUCACCACAUCAGUUGCAAAUUGGAGAUUAAUCGAUGCUAGCCCAGUGUCAGUUAUUUGUCAAUAAGGUACAGUUGCCAUGAAUUUGGUUUAAAGCAAUUGGUAACCCUUAUGGUGCUGGAAAAUAGUUGGUAGCACUGCGAUAGGAGCUUCCAUACCUCACCUCACCUCAUACGUCAUGGCAAUUCGUAUCCUCGCGAGUGUAGCGUUCUCAGAUACAUGGUGUCUUUUCGAACCAAGCCGCUAUUUGUUUCUACUGUAAACUUUUUCUCCAGUGGUGUGAGCAUCGGAGCCCCUAUGGCAGUGCUACCAACUAUGAUAUAUAGAACCCAACACAGUAAACAA
This is a long non-coding RNA of Scylla paramamosain (green mud crab), 1881 nucleotides long. RefSeq lists it as uncharacterized. The record is from RefSeq and is a predicted model, not a curated record. The transcript is spliced from 4 exons. NCBI's taxonomy places the organism in Eukaryota, Metazoa, Arthropoda, Malacostraca, Decapoda, Portunidae.